ACGUAGAGUGUAAAGGCAAAAGGGAGCUUGAUUGCAAGACAUACAGGUCGAGCAAGGAUGAAAAUCGGACUUAGUGAUCCGGUGGUGCUGCGUGGAAGGGCCAUCGCUCAACGGAUAAAAGCUACCCGGGGGAUAACAGGCUUAUCUCCCCCAAGAGUCCACAUCGACGGGGAGGUUUGGCACCUCGAUGUCGGCUCAUCACAUCC
Molecule: ribosomal RNA, 206 nt
Filed under: Clostridioides difficile
Lineage: Bacteria; Bacillati; Bacillota; Clostridia; Peptostreptococcales; Peptostreptococcaceae
Description: partial 23S ribosomal RNA
Rfam family: Bacterial large subunit ribosomal RNA
Source: RNAcentral